Long non-coding RNA from Triticum dicoccoides, 710 nucleotides. RefSeq lists it as uncharacterized. Lineage: Eukaryota; Viridiplantae; Streptophyta; Magnoliopsida; Poales; Poaceae. The record is from RefSeq and is a predicted model, not a curated record. The transcript is spliced from 2 exons.
UUUAUCCAGGAAUAAAAUGCUCUCCGAGCGUCACGCCGGCGGGGCUGCAACCAGUCAGCUCGGUCAACGCCGACGCGGUUUCGGCUGCACGGCGGAGGGUGGCGGAUGAUGCUGGCGAGCACGGCGACAGCUUCAGGUCCCAUCUCUUCCCCGUCCUUGCUUUACGUUCGCCUCGUUGACGGUCGCGACCAGAUCCCCUCCGCAGUCCAGAUCAUCUCAUCAUCGAUUUGGGGAUAGAAUCAGGAUACGAGCAGCAAAGAUGAUACUACAACAGACCUUGGAUCAGUCCAGAAUGACUGAUGGUCCAGAGUGGGGAUUACCAGUGACGCGUUCAUGAUCUUUGCCACUGCAACCAUAUCACUGAUCUGUAAGAAUAGUUCCAGGUUAGCUGAAAGGCACCGACAAAGAGCAAGGUUUAGCACAAGCAUAUACAUACCCCCAUUCUCAUCUGGUUUAGCCCGCCGUUUGCGUCGACAAUCAGAUAGCCGACAGUCGCAUUGUCAGUCCCUGCAAUGCGCGAGAAUAUUAGCCGGAGCCGGAGCUGAAGCUGGAAGAAAAAUGGGGUGAAGGGUAGAACAAGAAACUUACUGCGCUGAUUCUUUGGGCGUACAAUGCACUGGCUGUAACCCCCACUAUCUGGCUUCAUCCAUAUCUCCGGUAUCUGCCCAGGUUUAAGAGGAAACUUCAGUAUGGUCAAAGUGAGCACAGCA